UACGGGGGGAGCAAGCGUUGUUCGGAUUUACUGGGCGUAAAGGGCGCGUAGGCGGCCAGCACAAGUCAGUUGUGAAAUCUCCGAGCUUAACUCGGAACGGUCAACUGAUACUGUGCGGCUAGAGUGCAGAAGGGGCAACUGGAAUUCUUGGUGUAGCGGUGAAAUGCGCAGAUAUCAGGAGGAACACCGGUGGCGAAGGCGGUUCUCUGGGAAUGUCCUGACGCUGAGGAGCGAAAGUGUGGGGAGCGAACAGG
RNAcentral lists this ribosomal RNA (254 nucleotides) under uncultured bacterium. RNAcentral's name for it is "partial 16S ribosomal RNA". It matches the Rfam family "Bacterial small subunit ribosomal RNA", at positions 524 to 776 of the family's 1533-position model. The record is from RNAcentral.